CACGUAGUUAGCCGGUGCUUAUUCUUCAGGUACCGUCAUUAGCGAAGGAUAUUAGCCCCCACCGUUUCUUCCCUGACAAAAGAGCUUUACAACCCGAAGGCCUUCUUCACUCACGCGGCAUUGCUGGAUCAGGCUUGCGCCCAUUGUCCAAAAAUUCCCCACUGCUGCCUCCCGUAGGAGUCUGGACCGUGUCUCAGUUCCAGUGUGGCUGGUCGUCCUCUCAGACCAGCUACUGAUCGUCGCCUUGGUGAGCCUUUACCUCACCAACUAGCUAAUCAGAUAUCGGCCGCUCCAGGAGCACAAGGUCCGAAGACUCCCCUGCUUUCAUCCUUAGAUCGUAUGCGGUAUUAGCGUUAACUUUCGCUUACGUUACUCCCCCACUUCUUGGGUACGUUCCGAUAUAUUACUCACCCGUUCGCCACUCGUCAGCGGAGCAAGCUCCUGUUACCGUCGACUUGCAUGUAGUAAAGCAAUCGCCGCCUAGCCGUUACAAAUCUAGACGUCCAAGGACUAA
This 514-nucleotide ribosomal RNA is filed under the name uncultured Massilia sp. RNAcentral's name for it is "partial 16S ribosomal RNA". Lineage: Bacteria; Pseudomonadati; Pseudomonadota; Betaproteobacteria; Burkholderiales; Oxalobacteraceae. The record is from RNAcentral.